UACGUAGGGUGCAAGCGUUUAAUCGGAAUUACUGGGCGUAAAGCGUGCGCAGGCGGUUUUGUAAGUUUGUCGUGAAAUCCCCGGGCUCAACCUGGGAAUGGCGAUGAAGACUGCAAGGCUAGAAUCUGGCAGAGGGGGGUAGAAUUCCACGUGUGAGCAGUGAAAUGCGUAGAGAUGUGGAGGAACACCGAUGGCGAAGGCAGCCCCCUGGGUCAAGAUUGACGCUCAUGCACGAAAGCGUGGGGAGCAAACAGG
RNAcentral lists this ribosomal RNA (255 nucleotides) under uncultured bacterium. RNAcentral describes it as "partial 16S ribosomal RNA". It matches the Rfam family "Bacterial small subunit ribosomal RNA", at positions 524 to 776 of the family's 1533-position model. The record is from RNAcentral.